UAUAACUUGACAUGUCAGCUGAAGUAUUUCCAAAGUUGCUCAUAUGUUUUUCUUUCCUCUUAGACACAUUAAAGACGCUUCAAGAGCUGCUCGAUCCAGGAAUGGAGAGAUUUUGUGAAGACAUGGAUGCUCCCUAAAAUGAGUGCAGAAGUUUCCAUCAUAGGAGUUCCCCUGCUGUGCUGCUGGGUCCUCAGAAGUGUUGUAGAGAUCGCCUCUUUGAAAGUGGCUAUGCAGUUUGCUCCUGGCACGGGCAUCUUGAAUCUCCUCCUCAGACAGAUUGAGACCAUGCUUGAUUUCCUGUACUUUUAGUAAGAAGAAGGAAAACACAGCACACGUGAGCCAACAGGUAAGAGAGAAACACACUUCUCAGUUAUGCAGCCCCGCAUCAAGGAAAAAUAACAGCAACUCUACAAAGUCAGAAAUCAGCAUCUACGGACUAAUGAGCAGAGAGAAAGGUCUAAGUUUUUUUCUUUAUUAAUGUUUACCUGCUAUAGUAUGCAAAAUAUCCUUGCCAUAAAAGCCUUAUU
Molecule: long non-coding RNA, 527 nt
Filed under: Aotus nancymaae (Ma's night monkey)
Lineage: Eukaryota; Metazoa; Chordata; Mammalia; Primates; Aotidae
Description: lncRNA (ENSANAG00000038704.1)
Source: RNAcentral